CCUACGGGAGGCAGCAGUGAGGAAUAUUGGUCAAUGGACGAGAGCCUGAACCAGCCAAGUAGCGUGAAGGAUGACUGCCCUAUGGGUUGUAAACUUCUUUUAUAUGGGACUAAAAUGUUCCACGUGUGGGUUUUUGUAUGUACCAUAUGAAUAAGGACCGGCUAACUACGUUCCAGCAGCCGCGGUAAUACGGAGGAUACGAGCGUUAUCCGGAAUUAUUGGGUUUAAAGGGAGCGUAGGUGGAUUGUUAAGUCAGUUGUGAAAGUGUGCGGCUCAACCGUAGAAUUGCAGUUGAAACUGGCAGUCUUGAGUGCAGUAGAGGUAGGCGGAAUUCGUGGUGUAGCGGUGAAAUGCUUAGAUAUAACGAAGAACUCCGAUUGCGAAGGCAGCUCACUGGACUGCAACUGACACUGAGGCUCGAAAGUGUGGGUAUCAAACAGGAUUAGAUACCCUUGUAGUC
Molecule: ribosomal RNA, 460 nt
Filed under: uncultured bacterium
Lineage: Bacteria
Description: partial 16S ribosomal RNA
Rfam family: Bacterial small subunit ribosomal RNA
Source: RNAcentral